Molecule: ribosomal RNA, 247 nt
Filed under: uncultured bacterium
Lineage: Bacteria
Description: partial 16S ribosomal RNA
Rfam family: Bacterial small subunit ribosomal RNA
Source: RNAcentral
UGAGUUGCGAACGGGUGAGUAACGCGUAGGUAACCUGCCUGGUAGUGGGGGAUAACUAUUGGAAACGAUAGCUAAUACCGCAUAAUAGCAGUUGUUGCAUGACAGCUGUUUGAAAGGUGCAAUUGCACCACUACCAGAUGGACCUGCGUUGUAUUAGCUAGUUGGUGGGGUAACGGCCCACCAAGGCGACGAUACAUAGCCGACCUGAGAGGGUGAUCGGCCACACUGGGACUGAGACACGGCCCAG